GCUGAGACUAGAGUCACAUCUGGACACAGUUGUUGCUUUGGUGCGCUAAAGUUCUCAGAGAGAACAUGCUAGUCUUGGGGGGUCAGUCAGUGCCCCAUUAAUACCCAGAUCAGAAACAUGC
RNAcentral lists this small nucleolar RNA (121 nucleotides) under Castor canadensis (American beaver). Its description in RNAcentral is "Small nucleolar RNA SNORA3/SNORA45 family (ENSCCNG00000010220.1)". It matches the Rfam family "Small nucleolar RNA SNORA3/SNORA45 family". From Rfam's summary of the family: The members of this family belong to the H/ACA class of snoRNAs which are thought to guide the sites of modification of uridines to pseudouridines. This family includes mouse snoMBI-28 and human homologues ACA3 (SNORA3) and ACA3-2 (SNORA45). Both ACA3 and ACA3-2 share the same host gene. The record is from Rfam by way of RNAcentral. Lineage: Eukaryota; Metazoa; Chordata; Mammalia; Rodentia; Castoridae.